GCCUGGGUGGCUCAGUCGGUUGAGCAUCUGACUUCGGCUCAGGUCGUGAUCUCACAGUUCGUGAGUUUGAGCCCCACGUCGGGCU
RNAcentral lists this transfer RNA (85 nucleotides) under Felis catus (domestic cat). It matches the Rfam family "tRNA". Rfam says of the family: Transfer RNA (tRNA) molecules are approximately 80 nucleotides in length. Their secondary structure includes four short double-helical elements and three loops (D, anti-codon, and T loops). Further hydrogen bonds mediate the characteristic L-shaped molecular structure. tRNAs have two regions of fundamental functional importance: the anti-codon, which is responsible for specific mRNA codon recognition, and the 3' end, to which the tRNAs corresponding amino acid is attached (by aminoacyl-tRNA synthetases). tRNAs cope with the degeneracy of the genetic code in two manners: having more than one tRNA (with a specific anti-codon) for a particular amino acid; and 'wobble' base-pairing, i.e. permitting non-standard base-pairing at the 3rd anti-codon position. Lineage: Eukaryota; Metazoa; Chordata; Mammalia; Carnivora; Felidae. The record is from Rfam by way of RNAcentral.